This 776-nucleotide ribosomal RNA is filed under the name uncultured Neocallimastigales. Its description in RNAcentral is "partial large subunit ribosomal RNA". It matches the Rfam family "Eukaryotic large subunit ribosomal RNA", at positions 23 to 634 of the family's 3401-position model. The record is from RNAcentral. Lineage: Eukaryota; Fungi; Neocallimastigomycota; Neocallimastigomycetes; Neocallimastigales.
GAGACUCUGUGCGCGUGCAUAUCAAUAAGCGGAGGAAAAGAAACUAACAAGGAUUCCCUUAGUAACGGCGAGUGAAGCGGGAAGAGCUCAAAUUUGAAAUCUUCAAGGUUCUACCUUGACGAAUUGUAGUUUAUAGAAGUGUUUUCUGUUAGUGGAGUGGCAAAAGUUCUUUGGAAUAGGACAUCAUAUGAGGGUGAGAAUCCCGUAUUUGGUCAUUCCUCCUAGCGUUGUGAUACACUUUCAACGAGUCGGAUUGUUUGGGAAUGCAGUCCAAAAUGGGUGGUAAAUUUCAUCUAAAGCUAAAUAUUGGCGAGAGACCGAUAGCGAACAAGUACCGUGAGGGAAAGAUGAAAAGAACUUUGAAAAGAGAGUUAAACAGUACGUGAAAUUGUCAAAAGGGAAGCGUUUGACACCAGUGUUGUUUUUCCGAAAAUCAAUUACGAAUGUUUUGUUUUUGAGGAGUUAUGACUUCAUCGGCUUGCUCCUUUCUUUACGAAACUUUCUUAAUGCACUUUUCGGUUAACAAGUCAACAUCAAUUUCUUUUGUUGUAAAAGGGUAUGAGGAAGGUGGCUUUCUUUUCGGAGAAAGUGUUUAUAGCCUUGUGCCUCUAGCAAUCGGAGAGAUUGAGGUCUGCAGCGUAGAUCCUUCGGGGUUAGAUACGUUUGUGCUAAGUUAUAGCUUUUCAUAGACAACUUGUUGACUAUGUUUAGUCUUGUAGCUUACUCGCUUACGCUAUUUUACCUACGCUUAGGAUGUUGAACUCUAUCACACACAG